This 222-nucleotide long non-coding RNA is filed under the name Nicotiana benthamiana. Its description in RNAcentral is "long non-coding RNA (NBEN_LNC029798)". The record is from RNAcentral. Lineage: Eukaryota; Viridiplantae; Streptophyta; Magnoliopsida; Solanales; Solanaceae.
AGUGGGGUAGGCAGGGAAGUGAUGCUUGGUUCUCAGGCCAUCGCCAAGAGGGACAGUGUGAGAUAUCUUGGGUCUGUGAUCCAGGGGGACGGAGAGAUCCAGGGGGACGGAGAGAUAUCUUAAUGCAGCUUUCCCUUUUUUAUCCUAUACGCCGAGGGUCGAUUGGAAAUAGCCUCUCUGCCCUUUCGGACAGGGGUAAGGCUCGUCUACAUAUUACCCUCC